CGAGGUCGACUCAUCCCGAAGUAGCUGACGGUCGACUCAGCCCGAAGAAGCUCAAAUUUCCUUCUCUUUCGUGAGGAUUUCGCAAUUAGCAAAAACUCAGUGCAAUGGAAUGCCCGGAGGUCCUGGUCAACAAAAGAAAAGGGAAGGGACCGAACCUGAAGAAGUCGAACUACUGUCCGGAUCCUUCACAAGGGCAAAAUGCUGGAGUGAUGGAGGAGCAUUUAGAUGGAGGUCAUGAAGAAAGACCCAGACAACACAACAGUGGAUGAAGUGAUGUCUGCUACUUUCUCGCUUCGCUGAAAAGAAACAGUUGGGGAUCAACCCAUGGUUGCCGACAGCAUGGAGCGAUGGCCGUCCAUGUUUACUGAACGACAGGCCCAUGGCGACACACUUGGAGAAGCAAUGAAAGACAUCCGCCUUGGAAUUCUGAUUGGCUACAAAGUCAACCAGGAGGGAGCCUUUCCAGCAGCUUGUUUCGGAAGUUGUGGACUCGAGCUGAGGCGUUGUCUGGUUGUAUUUUCACUACCACACGUUGCAGAAACUCGAAUACGUACUUCAUGGCGCUCGGACACUGCAGGUUAACCGCAUAUUAUGCCUAACAGCAUGGCCACACCGUCGCCAUAUAAUUUAAAUUGUGUAGCACAACCAUUUCCUCCACAACAACUGCCACAUUGAAGACAUCUGCUGGAGGUUGGCGCUGUAGACCUGGUAUGUUGGUCAAGUCUAGGCACUGCAUGUGCAUAUACAGAGGCGCGCGCGCACACACA
Molecule: long non-coding RNA, 767 nt
Organism: Engraulis encrasicolus (European anchovy)
Lineage: Eukaryota; Metazoa; Chordata; Actinopteri; Clupeiformes; Engraulidae
Exons: 4
Source: RefSeq, a predicted model, not a curated record